RNAcentral lists this ribosomal RNA (861 nucleotides) under bacterium enrichment culture. RNAcentral's name for it is "bacterial SSU rRNA". It matches the Rfam family "Bacterial small subunit ribosomal RNA", at positions 28 to 904 of the family's 1533-position model. The record is from RNAcentral.
GAUGAACGCUGGCGGCGUGCUUAACACAUGCAAGUCGAACGAGGUCCAACCUUCGGGUGAAGACCGAGUGGCGAACGGGUGAGUAACACGUGGGGAACCUACCCUUCUCUCUGGGAUAACGUCGAGAAAUCGGCGCUAAUACCGGAUACUCCUUGCGGAUCGCAUGGUCUGCUUGGGAAAGCUCCGGCGGAGAGGGACGGCCCCGCGGCCCAUUAGCUAGUUGGUGAGGUAACGGCCCACCAAGGCGACGAUGGGUAGCCGAGCUGAGAGGCUGAUCGGCCACACUGGGACUGAGACACGGCCCAGACUCCUACGGGAGGCAGCAGUGGGGAAUCUUGCGCAAUGGGCGAAAGCCUGACGCAGCAACGCCGCGUGCGGGAUGAAGGCCCUCGGGUCGUAAACCGCUUUCAGCAGGGAUGAAACUGACAGUACCUGCAGAAGGAGCCCCGGCUAAAUACGUGCCGGCAGCCGCGGUAAUACGUAUGGGGCAAGCGUUAUCCGGAUUUAUUGGGCGUAAAGCGCGCGUAGGCGGCUUGUUAAGUCAGAUGUGAAAUCCGGGGGCUCAACCCGCGGCUUGCAUCUGAAACUGGCAGGCUUGAGUCUGGUAGAGGAAAGUGGAAUUCCUGGUGUAGCGGUGAAAUGCGCAGAUAUCAGGAGGAACACCAGUGGCGAAGGCGGCCUUCUGGGCCACGACUGACGCUGAGGCGCGAAAGCUAGGGGAGCGAACAGGAUUAGAUACCCUGGUAGUCCUAGCCGUAAACGAUGGGCACUAGGUGUGGGGGGGUCAUCGACUCCCUCCGUGCCGAAGCUAACGCAUUAAGUGCCCCGCCUGGGGAGUACGGCCGCAAGGCUAAAACUCAA